UACGUAGGGUGCGAGCGUUGUCCGGAAUUAUUGGGCGUAAAGGGCUCGUAGGCGGUCUGUUGCGUCGGUAGUGAAAACUCAGGGCUUAACCCUGAGCCUGCUUCCGAUACGGGCAGACUAGAGGUAUGCAGGGGAGAACGGAAUUCCUGGUGUAGCGGUGAAAUGCGCAGAUAUCAGGAGGAACACCGGUGGCGAAGGCGGUUCUCUGGGCAUUACCUGACGCUGAGGAGCGAAAAGUGUGGGGAGCGAACAGG
Molecule: ribosomal RNA, 254 nt
Filed under: uncultured bacterium
Lineage: Bacteria
Description: partial 16S ribosomal RNA
Rfam family: Bacterial small subunit ribosomal RNA
Source: RNAcentral